RNAcentral lists this ribosomal RNA (1404 nucleotides) under Triticum aestivum (bread wheat). RNAcentral's name for it is "partial small subunit ribosomal RNA". The record is from RNAcentral. Lineage: Eukaryota; Viridiplantae; Streptophyta; Magnoliopsida; Poales; Poaceae.
AUGGAUUACCAAGGGAGCACUGUUAGGGAUUUCCUUCAUGCUAAUGGACAGGUGGUGCUAGAAAGGGUGGAUAACAAUCAUAAUCUAAGAUCUUUCACUCAAAAGGAGAUAGAAGACAUCACCGGUGGGUAUAGCACCAUGCUGGGAGAAGGCGGGUUUGGUAAAGUUUACAAAGGAAAAUUAGAUGAUCUUCAUCCAGUCGCAGUAAAGAGAUACAAAAAUGGAACCAAGAAAGAAGAGUUUGCCAAAGAGGUGAUAGUACAUUCCCAGAUAAAUCAUAAGAAUGUCGUCAGGCUUUUCGGUUGCUGCACGGAGGAAAAUGCUCUUACAAUUGUUAUGGAGUUUGUAUGCAAUGGAAACCUCUACAACAUCCUUCACUGCAGCAGCAGCAAUGCUAAUGGCUGUAUGCCCUUCCCUUUGGACAAACGGUUGGACAUUGCCAUUGAGUCAGCUGAAGCAUUAUCAUGCAUGCACUCAAUGUACAGUCCUGUUCUUCAUGGCGACAUCAAACCUGCUAAUAUACUGCUAGAUGAAAAUUUUCGGCCAAAGAUAUCAGAUUUUGGGAUAGCAAGAUUGCUUGCGGCUGACAAGACUCAGCAUACCAGACACGUCAUUGGUUGCAUAGGUUACAUGGACCCUUUAUUGUCGCAGAGUGGGAUUCUACUUCCCAAAAGUGAUGUAUACAGUUUUGGAGUUGUUUUGCUGGAAAUCAUCACCCGAAAGAAAGCUGUGGAGGGCAAUAACAACCUUGCUAAAAGUUUUCUGGAAGCCGUGAGAAAAGGGAAAAAGGUGAGACAAAUGUUUGAUGAGGAAAUUGUGAAUGAUAAAAAAAACAUGAAAUUUCUUGAAGAUAUCGCAAAACUAGCAGCUGAAUGCUUGAAGUUGGAGGAAAAAAUGCGUCCAGAAAUGCUUGAAGUAGCGGACAGACUUAGGACAAUUAGAAAAGCUUACCACCUGCGCAAGGGCAGACAUUCUACAGGUAGCAAUUCCAGACUUACUAAAAGUGAAAAGGCAGAGGAUGUUGUACCGGUCGUUUCCAUUGACGAACUGAGGAAAAUAACCAGGAAUUUCGGCAGUUGUGCUCGAAUAGGAGAGAACAUAUAUGGUGAAAUUUUCCUCGGUGUGCUUAAAGAUGGACAUAAUAAAUCCACGAUCAUGAAGCUUUUUCCUAGUGCUAUUUUAGAGGUUCCCUUGCCCUUGCUCUCAAGAUUCAGACAUGAGAAUGUUCUCCAGCUUCUUGGAUACUGUGUUGAAGAAAAUCAUACAUCCUCGAAACCAGAAAACCGUUUUCUUGCUUACGAGUAUACAUCCAGGGGAUCCUUGCACGAUAUUCUUCAUGGUGAGUUGUUACUUUCAGAAACUCUCAGCUUGGUCACACUUGUUCAGUUGUUAGAGCAACUCUAG